This 820-nucleotide ribosomal RNA is filed under the name uncultured eukaryote. RNAcentral's name for it is "SSU rRNA". It matches the Rfam family "Eukaryotic small subunit ribosomal RNA", at positions 629 to 1426 of the family's 1831-position model. The record is from RNAcentral.
CGGUGUUUAACUGGCGUGAUGUGGGACGUCCUACCGGUGGGCUUAGCCUCGCGAGGGGCGGCCCAACUAAUAUCCCGUCGCGGUGCUCUUUACUGAGUGUCGAGUCGGGCCGGUACGUUUACUUUGAACAAAUUAGAGUGCUUAAAGCAGGCUAUCCUCGCCUGAAUACUGCGUGCAUGGAAUAAUGGAAUAGGACCUCGGUUCUAUUUUGUUGGUUUUCGGAACCCCGAGGUAAUGAUUAAUAGGGACAGAUGGGGGCAUUCGUAUUGCGACGUUAGAGGUGAAAUUCUUGGAUCGUCGCAAGACGGACAGAAGCGAAAGCAUUUGCCAAAAAUGUUUUCAUUAAUCAAGAACGAAAGUUAGAGGUUCGAAGGCGAUCAGAUACCGCCCUAGUUCUAACCAUAAACGAUGCCAGCUAGCGAUCCGCCGAAGUUCCUCCGAUGACUCGGCGGGCAGCUUCCGGGAAACCAAAGCUUUUGGGUUCCGGGGGAAGUAUGGUUGCAAAGCUGAAACUUAAAGGAAUUGACGGAAGGGCACCACCAGGAGUGGAGCCUGCGGCUUAAUUUGACUCAACACGGGAAACCUCACCAGGCCCAGACACCGGAAGGAUUGACAGAUUGAUAGCUCUUUCUUGAUUCGGUGGGUGGUGGUGCAUGGGCCGUUCUUAGUUGGUGGAGCGAUUUGUCUGGUUAAUUCCGAUAACGAACGAGACUCUACCCUGCUAAAUAGGCGUACCUUAUGGUAUCGCGAAGGCCCCCGGCUUCGGCCGGUGGGUUUUUACUACCAACGUACAAACAAAUCUUCUUAGAGGGACAGGCGG